RNAcentral lists this unclassified non-coding RNA (332 nucleotides) under Hevea brasiliensis (rubber tree). The record is from RNAcentral. Lineage: Eukaryota; Viridiplantae; Streptophyta; Magnoliopsida; Malpighiales; Euphorbiaceae.
GGUAACUUCUGAAUUUGGAUCUGAGCAGCACUGUAAUUUCACUAAGACAUUCUCCUGAGACUGUAUCUAGGCCAUCAGGGAUGCAAGAACUCCAUGACUUCAUCUGGUUUUCUAUCUUGGGCCGUAGGACAUCCAGCAUCCUUUUCAUGGAAUUCAGAAGAACCCCCAACUCAUCAGGGACAAAAUAAAUUUCCCCUGUUCGUUUGGCAAACUUUUGAACAUAUUUGAGGCCAAAGAUCUUUGGUGCAAGACUAUCCUUCAAUGGUGAUAAGAAAUCAGCAUACUGCUUAUCCAAAGCUUCAAUAAUUGCCUUCUCAACAUCUACAAUAGCA